GUUGGUGGCAACUGUCCUCUACUUCUGAUAUAUUUAUUCAAUCUGGUGUUGCUGGUCAUUUAUGUUAUGGUUAUUUUAAGCUGGAGUAUAGGGGAUCUAUGUGCUCUAGCUUGAGGGGAGUGGUAAGAAAAAAGAGAUUAUUUUAAGAAGAAAACAUUACAAAAAUACCCCCUACAAUACAACAUUUACCAUGAGAACAAUGCGACGUAGAAGGCAAAGAUGGGGAAAGAACAUAAGCAAAGGAUAUUUUGGUCUUGCUACUUAAAAGGGAAGAAAAGUAUGAGGAGUAAGGAGUGGAUAUAACACAUGGAAGGUAUUUGAAGUGCUAUUACAUGAUGUGAAAUGUCUGAAAGAGGGUUCACAGCUUGAAAUUAUAAAUUUAUUUUCUAUGUGAAUUUCUUCAUACAUAUCUUGAAGUUCUUAUCCCAAAUUGUCCAGUGUCUUGUAGAGGUGUAGUAUUGGUGUGACAUAAAAAAGUAUGUGGAUUUACAAAUGAUUCUAUACUUAUAGUCAUGAUUUAUUGUCCAUAUUAAUCAUAUUGGAGUUGACUAUUGUUUAUUCGUUUAGCCAUUUCUUUAUCCCUGCUAUGUUUUUUUAUGUUCUUCCAAAUCUAAAACUUGAUAUUGGUUUCAAUAUUUACUGAGGAAAUUAAAACUACAGUGGUUUUAUUGAAAUAAAUUUGUGGGAAUCUUUUCAUAUCAUUAAAAUAGAAGUUGCAUAAAUUUCCUGUAUCAAUGUAGUAUACAACACACAAAAUGAGAACAAAUAAGUUCCUCACUUUUGCAUCUGUGAAUGGUUUCAUACGAUACUUUCUUCCUCAUUCCCGCCUUUAUUCCGAUUCAUUAUAUUUGGAGUUCCUUAUUUGUUAUCCUUUGCUGUCAUCUUGGGAGGAUCAAGGCACAAACAAGACAUGUAAUUGUAUCGAUCUGUACUUUCUUUCUUAUUACCCAGUUGUGCUGGGUUUACUUUCAAAUCUAGGUACAAGUAACCCCGUUAUUCUAUGCAGUCACGAAGGUAUGUGUAUUUCAAAACAAGGGUUAUAAAAAGUGAUGUAAUUGGAGGAAAAUGAAAGUAAGGAGUCUCACAUACAAUGGACUGCUAGCUGAUAUAUUUUUCCCCUUUUGUUAGCCAAAUUCAUCUUCCAAUAUCCCAUGCUUAUUUGUAACUGUUAUAGGAAAUGAAAGAAAUAGAUGUUGAGGAAUAUCUGGGUUCAUCUACUGGAGAUGACUAUGAAUUUGGUUCGGAGAAUGGUUUUGUAAAGCCUGCUGCUAGUGUGACUAAAGGAGCCCUGGUGAAAGGUGUUAAGAAAUUGAAAUGGUCUAGGUUUGAUUUCAGUGAAGGGGAAUCAGAAGAACAUGCGGAUUUGAAAGGUAGAGCUAGUGUAAAGGAGAUGAUGAGCAUAGCUGCUUUGAGAAAUUAUGAUAUGAAGAAAAUAAGAUGAGCAUAGCUACUUUGAGAAAUUAUGAUAUGAAGAAAAUAAGAUGAGCUCCUAAGCUCAUUGAAGAUGAGAGUGGAUUUUUAGAGCAAAUUCAAUCCAUGCGAGAUGAGCUGAUGAGAACAAAUUUGGAUGAAGGUGGGAGACAAAAGAGGGAGGAGGAAUCACUUCUUACUCAGAAAAGUUUUGAAAUGAUGACAUUAAUUCACUUUAUGAAGGGUAGUUUAUGCAAUCUUAAGGAGAUAGGCAAAAUUGCAGAUUGAAAUGAACAAUCGAAAUUAUUGACUGAAGAAAAACCAAACCACUUUCUUGAAAUUAUAUCUAAGGUAUAGGAAGUCUCUAGAGUGGAGUUCAAAAUAUGUUUGUCAGUUGUUAAUGUCUUCUUUAGUAGUUCUCAUUGCUCUACUUUGGUGCUUUUUCCGUGCCUUAUUAUUCUCUUUUAGUUUUUAUUUUUAUUUUGUCUCAAUUAUGGUUUUCUAAUUGAGUUUUAAUCUAGAAUAUCACAACAUCAUUGAUACUGUUACAAAUGUGGUGAUGCUAUUAAUUAUGUAUAAAUUGAUUAUAUAUGUAUGGAUCAUGUAUCCAAAGCUUGUAUCUCCCUGUAAUUUUGAUUACUGGCUUUUUUUAGUCUCCUCAGAUUUGAAGAGUGCAGCAUUUUCCCACUGAUAGUAAAAGCACUACUUUGGCGGAUAUGUGUGGAUAAUCAUUGUAUAGGUAGGAGGCCACUCUUCCUGCUUGCCUUGAUGGAAAGGAUACUUUGGUCAAGGGUAAAAUUGGCACAGGAAAAGUGCAGCAUUUUUGAUUCUUGGAAUUGAAGCAGUUCUAAAGGCAAUGAGUAGCACUGCAAACUUACGGGUUUAAGGGCUGCCUUGACGUUUCUAGGCUUCCUAGAAAAGGAGAUGUGUGGAGAGGAAAAGGCAUGCACUGGGACACAAUGACCAGUAUUAAAGUGAUGAACAGUGAUCGGAUACCAUGGAUGUCUCAACUCGGAAUAUUUCUUUAUGGACUGCUGAAAGAAAAAGGUAAAACUUCUUGAAGUUCUUCCCUCGCUUGCUUCACAUUCGGUGAUGAUACAACUUAUUGUUCAGACUAUUUUGCCAAUGCUUCAUAAAGAAGCAAAACCUUUCUUUUUUUAGGUCCUGGCAACAAGAAAUGAACUGUGUAAUACAUUGUUUCCACAAUUUUGGCUUUGAAUUGGAGAUGGGAUGGAAAGAGAGGGUGAUAAAAAUUUCAAUGAAGGAACUCAUUCUAAUAUCCUUACAUCUGUUUUUCUUGCUCAUUCAAAUCUUACAAGCUUGUAUUUAUUGAAUUAGAAUCAUAAAUGCUAGAUACAGAGAAAAAGACCUUUUGCUACCAAAGCUUUUGGAUUUCUUUGAUUCUACCUUGUACUUUUCAUAUUGCUGCAGAAGAGCCUCGUUAUAACUUACAACUUUGGUUUUUUUCCUUACUGCACGGGAGGAGGAGCUCAUCUCCAUUUAAAGUUUUCCUGAAUAAAUUAUCUGUUGUUUUGUCCUUGAUAUUUUCUUUCUGGUGGUUCUUGUAUAACUGUUUUAGUUAUCUAUGAAGCAUAUUAUUUUUUGAAGGUAAUCUGACUUAAAUAUCUUUCUCCUUGGGUGUACCUUGCCCCCCAAAGUUAGACUAACCAUUUUGGAUGGUUUCAGUUAACUCAGGGAUUUUCUUCAGCUUUCCUUCCCCCCCCCCCAUUUUAUUGUUCUAUAACACGCUUAGCUUGGUGAUGUCUUCAUACAUGUGAUUAUUAUGGAUUUCUAAUUAUUUUAGCGUCUUAAGUAUACACAUUUUAUUUGACCUUGAGACUUUGUAGAGGGAUAAAUUUUACUGAAUGAAUCAGUGUGUGAUUAUCCUGAUCUAAUGAUUGCAGACUCCGUUACACCCCCCCCCCACAAUUUUUUUUGUAUGAGUAGUUUUGUUUGCUUUAUUUAUUGAAAUGGCUGCUACACUCACACCAUUAUCUAGGUUCUCUUCUACAAUGUUAAUCAUGUGUUACUUCCUGGUCUAGAUCUCCAUCUGAGAACCUGAUGCAGAUGCCUUGAUUUGGCUGGACCGGACUGACCCACUAUGGAGGCCUAAGCCAAGACACAACCAACCCAAAGAUAUUCUGGUCUGAUCAAGAUUGGUAGUUGAUAUUUAGGAAAGCAAAUUAGUAUAUUUGAUUUUCUUUACUUUAGAAGUAGAUACAUCAUACAUAGAAUUUCUUUUGCAAUUAGUUAGUUUCCAUUUUAGAUUUAUUCCAUCUUUACUUUGCUUUCCAAUUUUAUGUGAGGACUUCUUCUUUAAAUUGCUAUAAUGAUUAUGGAGUUUCAGUUUUGAAUAAAAGAAUUGAAUAUUUGAAUUAAUGAUUGAGACUGUGGCUACUGUGAGCCUUGCAUAUCCCCCCUCCCACUUUGAUCUUCUUCUUCUUUCUUUUCUUUCUUCAUCUUCUCUUUUCUUCUUCUUCUUCUGUCUCUGUUUCCUUGUUCACAGCUGCUAGUUUUAUUCACCAUCUCUACUGGGCAGUAAUACCAAGCACCGAAAGAAGGCUUGUUGCACCUUGUCCAUUACCGGUUGAGUCUGAGAUUUUGGUUGAAGGCUGCUUCCUUGGGGGCUAUUCAAACCAUAGAGAAUCCCCUCCAAAGUCAUUCUCUGUUGUGGGCUGCAAGACUGAUUUCAGGACUGAACCCUAAAAUACCGCCAAGGUUCUAUUUCAGGUUCCUCCUGCAGCCUUCCAAUCCGCAGUUCCAAGUGUUAGUCUUGUGGGGUUUGUUAGAGCUUCUUCCAGAGAAUCUUCGCCUGAAAUUUCAGAGCAAACAGAGGCAUGAUGAAGGUUUUCUGUUGAUCUGAAGCUCUCCCUAUUUGCCGCCCCUGUUUUGAUCCAAGGAAGAAGACAACCCCCAUUGUGAGAUAGGUUGUUUAUUCCCUUUAUUCUAAUUUCCUAUUCUACCCCUCUAUUUGCCUUUAAUUUUCCCAUAUCCAAUACUACUAUUUUACUUCCUAAUUUACCCCCACCAAAUAAUUAUAAACUCCUUUUUAAGUCUCAUCUCCCAAAUACUUCAUUAAUAAUUUGUUUAUUUACGAUACUGCCACUGGAAUUUGAUUUUUCAAUUUUCUACUGCCACUGCAAUUUGAUUAUUCAGUUUUCUUAUUUGAGUGGGCCCAUUAAACAAACCGAACAGGGUUUUCGUAAACCCCAGUUCUGCAUUUAGUGGUAUCAGAGCCAAAACAUUCCUAAUGCUAUGGUGAUUAACAAUGAUCUUCUUCAAUGGAUUGGUUCAUAUAGAGAAGAGAUUGAUACAACUAUUGCCAAUCUCACUGAACGAGUGACUACCUUAGAGAGAAGUGUCAACAUGCUCAAUAAUAAUGUCACUUCUUUGGAGACUGUGAUGACUUCUUUAUAGGCUUCCAUUAACAGGUUGACAGUUUCUGAGAAAGGAAAGAGUCCCAUGAUAUCUGAGGAUUCUUCCAACUCUGUCCUGCAAGGGUUGCCACAUGUCACCCCACACCCAUUGCCACACGUUCCCCUUCCACCACCACCACCAUUACCACCAUAUGGGACUGGACGAUAUGAUGACAAACCAGACAAGGUAGCGAGAUUGGACGUCCUUGAUUUUUAUGGUGACCACAGUCUAGAGUAGUACCUUCACAGUUUGGAGAUUUUCUUCAAAUGGUAUAACUUGACAGAGGCUAAAAAGUUGAUAUUUGCAUAGGGAAAAUUGAAAGGAACAGCUCGUGUUGGUGGAUAAAACACCAACAGCAAAAUCGGACUUGAGAUUUGGGGUAAGUUACUACAUGGGCUGAAAUGCGAGGUGCGAUAGACAGAAGAUUCCAACCGACCGAUUACAAGCAACGUGUACAUCUCAAAUUUGUGCAGUUGAGACAAGACAAUAUGUCAGUUGAAGAAUACGUGGCCAGAUUCUACUAUUUAGCCACUCGAUCUAGCUUUGAGUGGGACGAGGAAGUCUUCGCAGCGCAAUUCUGCAAUGGUUUGCAUCCACAGAUUAGUGCCGCACCGGCCGCUAGUAGAUUGUCUACCAUGGAGGAUGCAAUUCAAGAGGCCUAUCAGGUUGAGGAAAGUCUUAAGAGGCCCUACACUCGGAGGGCUUUUCCCGAUGCAUAUUCUAGAGGAGAUGCCUCAUGCCCACAACAAUCUUCUCCUCUAGAGAAAUCGGGUUUGGUUAAUAAACCCCAGGCUAGUGGUUCUUCAUCAACGCCUACACGAUCGGCUCGAUCAGCUCAUCCAUAUUUCCCUCCGUGUCGUGGUUCUGAUAGACCUUACUCCCCACCUCACCGUGGCUAUGACAGGAACUCAGUAUUUCCAAAAGAGGCUAUUCAAUGCUUCACGUGCAAGGGAUACGGGCAUCGAACUAAUCAGUGUCCUAAUCGGUUGUUAGUAUUCAUCGAUAAGGACAAUUUUAUACCCUAUGCACCAAAAAAGAAACUGAAAACAGGAACGGUAAAUAUGGAGGAUGAGUGUGAACGUGAGCCUGGUGAGAUCAAUGAUGGUGAUAGUGAUGACGAGCGUCAACCAUUCUAUGUGAUCCAUCCUCGUUUGACUACAUAGAAGGUUCCCGAGGAGGACGAUUGGCGUCGUUAUAGUAUCUUUCAGACUAUGGUGCGAUGCAAUUAUAACUUAUGUAAUAUGGUGAUCGACCCCAGUAGUUGCACCAACAUCGUUGCUGAAGAUGUUCGUAAGUUGGGUCUGAAAACGGAGCCUUAAUCGAAUCCAUACAAGGUUGGGUGGCUGAACAACACUAAUUUAAAAAUUAAUGAAAGGUGUGCUCACGUAUUCCAUUGGUGGACUGAUUGAUCAGGUGCAGUAUGAUGUUCUCCCUCUGAAAGUCUAUCACAUUCUUCUAGGGCGCCCAUGGUUGUUUGACAAGAAAGCCAAGCAUUGUGGAUAUGAGAAUAUCUACUCCUUUCAGCAUGGUGGACUUGAGAUGAAGUUUCUCCCGGCAAAGGAUCUUCCCCCAUUGAAACUCAAGAAGACAGCUAGUACUUUCCUCCUCAGGUGCAUUGACUCCGACGGCAUUCUUGGACCUCAUCCAAACUCAACGGAGUCGAGUUCUUUUCAGAGGAGGCGAGCUGAUGCAGAUGCCUUGGCUGGUUGGAUCAUACUGACCCACUAUUGAGGCCUAAGCCAAGACACAACCAAUCCAAACCGAUCAAUCCGAUAUUCUGGUCUUGUCAAGCUGCUGGUUCUAUUCACCAUCUCUUCUGGGCAGUAAUACCAAGCACCAAAAGGAGGCUUGUUGCACCUUGUCCAUUAUUGGUUAAAGUCUGAGAUUUUGGUUGAAGGCCGCUUCCUUGUGGGCGAUUCAAACCCUAGAGAAUCCCCUCCAAAGUCAUUCUCUGUUGUGGGCUACAAGAUUGAUUUCAGGACUGAACCCUAAGCUACCGCCAGGUUCUAUUUCAGGUUCCUUCUGCAGCCUUCCAACCCGCAGAUCCAAGUGUUAGUCUUGUGAGUUUGUUAGCGCUUCUUCCGGAGAAUCUUCGCCUGGAAUUUUAGAGCACACAGAGGCCUGAUGAAGGUUUUCUCUCGAUCUGAAGCUCUCCCUAUUUGCCACCCCUGUUUUGGUCCAAGGAAGAUGGCAACCCCCAUCGUGAGAUAGGUUGUUAAUACCCUUUAUUCUGAUUUCCUAUUCUACCCCUCUAUUUGCCUUUAAUUUUCCCAUAUCUCAUACUAUUGUAUUACUUCCUAAUUUACCCCCACCAAAUAAUUAUUAACUCCCUUUAAGUCCCAUCUCCCAAGUACUUCAUUAAUAAUCUGUGUAUUUAGGAUACUGCCACUGCAAUUUGAUUAUUCAGUUUUCUUAUUUGAGUGGGCCCAUUAAGCGACCCGAACAGGGUUUUCUUAAACCCCGGUUCUGCAUUAGAACCAACAAGUGAAAAAAUAGAACCAAACCUGGAUUGGAAUCACUGCCAAUCAAUCUACUGCAUCACCACAUUUGGGCUGGACAAAUCAUCAUAAACUGCUACACAGGCUAGAAGGCAAGCAAACCAAUUUCAUUCUAACGUAAAUCGUGUACAGGGCUGAAGCCCCCUACAACCUUAUAUAAAAAACUCCAAAACAGACUCAAACUAAGCUUAAAACUCCUCCAGCCAAUAUAUUUCCAUGGAGGUAAUCUUAACUGACUAAAUCUCUGCAUAAAAUAAAGGAAAACAGCUUAAAACAAUGCUGGACUGAUAGAAACCUAUUUCAUAUUAACUAAAACACUUAAAUAAAAAUUAAAAUACAGAAAGACUCUAACUAGACUAAAUAAUAAAUUAAAUCCUGUAUUCCCACCUCCUACUCAUAUUUUAGGCCCAUUAAAGUGGUUUUUUAGGCUAUUACAAAGAAAGACCAUUGGACCUAAGGCCCAGCAUAUAUGUAACACAACCAAAGCAUAUUUCCACUAAAAUAACAGACUUCUGUGUUUUAUCUGCAUCAGGAACCAGGUAAGACUCCAAAUUCCAAAAUGUACAAAAAGUACAUGGGGGUCGUGUGACUCUUUUAUUUUACAAGUCUUUGAUGAUAAUUGAGUUACCUAUUCAAAAAACCAAAAAAGAUAAUUUAUUGUAUACUACUGUUUUGAAGUUCUCUCUAAAACCUUUGUUGGAUCUGACAUGCUUUUAAGGAAACUAAAAUUAAUUCAGCAAUAAAGCACCUAGUAAGUCUUUCCCAUCUUCCUGUUUUCUCUAUUUUCUCUGUUUAUCUUUAUCUAUUUUUCAUGUGCCUAUCAUGUGCCUUCCUCAUUAAAGCUACAUCUGAGAGCGAUAAAAUUGUCAGUUGACUCUUAACAUUAUAAUCUUAUAUGAACUCAUGUUGUUGGUGUUAUUGCUUAAUGUGUUUUAUCUAACUACAGGCAGUAACAAACUUAUGGUUUCCCGACUUAGUGAUACAGCUUGAAGGAUUUGAUGAUUUUACUCUUGCCUCUUCAUGGGAAAGGUAUCCUAAUGUUCAGUACGACGUCUCUUCAUGUUACAUAAGAUUUGUUGGACCAUGUACUUGGAGAUAUACAAUGUUUUUUAAUUACCAGGUUCAAAUCUGAGAUAGAUUUCUCUCUCUUGACUUUAUUUUUUUCUUAUAUCUUUCAUAUUAUUUACUUAUUCUUAUAUGACUCUGAAUAUCUUUCUCGAAUUAUCAAAGGGAUUUCCAUUGCUAGACUGAGCAAAUUUUUGUUUUCCUGUUUGACUGAAUUUUUUAUGUUUUCCAAGUCUAGUUUCUUUUUUUGGGUCUUGGCAACAAGAAUGAACUGUAAUAAAUUGUUUCCACUAUUUUGGCUUUGAAUUGGAGGAUAGAAAGAGAGGGUGAUAAAACUUCCGAUCAAUGUAAAUUCAUAGAUGAUAAUAGACUAUAAAUUCAUAGAUGAUAAUAGACUAUGUUCCUUUCACCCCAGCUCGCCAAAAAAAAAAUCCUACAUUAUUAGGCCAUAUAAUUUUUUUUUUCAGAAAAAAUGUUGGGCAUGCUGCUGAGUUGGCAACCACAAGUCAGUCUGUUUUUCUCCCCACCCUUAGGAAAUGAGGAUUCAAUACCUCUCCACCAGGGGCGGCUAGAGAGGGAUCAAUCAGUAAGACACAAACAGGAGAGAGAGUAAGGAGAGGGGCCAGAAAGAGACAAAAUAGGAGAUAGAAAGUGAAACCCCAUAUUAUUUUCCAUGAAAUAAGAUAGGACCAAAUCAUUAUAAAUUUCCAAUCCUACAACUGACAUUUGAAUCAUGUUAUCAAGGAUUUCAAUGAACGUAAGGCUGUACAAUCUACUGAUAUCGUCCUUCUAAAUUUUCUAAUCACUUGGUAUCCCACGUAGGGUAAGAUUUACAUAUUACUACUAAAAAAAAUAAAAAAUUGCAUCUGAAAAUUGUAAGGUUUCUCAAUUUGAAAUUUCUAGUGGUUUGGUAUCUGUAUGGCAUAGGUUUACAUCUGAAAAUUAUAUGCAGUUUUCUCCAAUUUAAAUUUCUAGCCAUUUGGUAUCCAUAUACCGUAAGAUUUCCAUUUGAACCUCGCACUGCCUCAAGAUAAAACUCGUAGAACUUGGAUAGGGAUAGAGAAGAACGAGAGAGGGUAGGGGAGAAAGGGGAGGGGGAGAGGUAAAGAGAAAGGCAAUGAGAGGGAGAGGGAGAGUGCUGAGGGGGGGGGGAAGAGGAAAUCAACGAAUUUGAAAGUCUAUUUCCGAAGACAUGAGUCAGUACAUGGAUUCAAGAUCUACCGAUUGAAGACCUCAUCCAGGUGUGACUGUCUCGUCUUUUUUUCCUGAACAAGAAAAGAGCCUCGGAUGGUUGACUCACUCUUGCAUCUGUGAUCUGUGAGUUGUUUCAUAAGAUACUUGCCUCCUCAUUCUUGCCUUAUUCUCUUCUUCCGAUCCCUUUUAUUUGGAGUUUAUUGAUGUUGUUACGCAGGUGAAUGUUGUUCUACUUUCAAAUAUGAUUACAAGUUUCCUCUUAUUUCUAUGCUGGCCACGAAGGUAUGUGUAUUUCAAAGACCUUCUUGGUGUCAUUGCAUCUUUAACUGAUACACCUUCGGCAUUUGGUGACGUUAUGUGUAAACUAGAUUUUUGCCUUUUCUUGUGGGGUGGAAUUUUUUUUCCUGAAAAAAUUAGGUUCCAAAUGUUGUCCAUGUCUUUAAUUUUUGUUCCUUUCUGAGUCUGUUUCAUGUUGAGAUAAAAGAUCUUAAACAAUGCAUAUCUCCUAGAAAAAUUUAUAAAUUGUUCUAUCAUGUUGGUUUCCUAUUUUUCAGUAUUUCAUAAGCCAUUUCAUUUCUCAAAGUUUGUUAUAACUGAAACCAGGGAAAUACUGCUAUUACUUUGUAGCUUAUCAGGGGAUUCUUUUUGUUAUUAUAGUGUAACAUUUUGCAUUCUUCCUUGCCUUUUUAGGUAUAUUUUCUUUCAGGGGUCAUUGUUAAUACAUUUUUUUAUUAAUAUCUUCUUGUCACUUUUUGUAGAAUUUUUUGCAGAUUAUAGUUGCAACCCCUGGCAGGUUAUUAGAUCACAUUGAGAACAAAUCUGGCUUCUCCGUUCUCUAGAUGGGCUUGAAAAUGCUUGCACUUGAUGAAACUGCCCACUAUUAGAUUUAAGAUUUUGGUAAGAUAUAGAGAAGCUUGUUGAUUGCAUACUACGUCAAAGACAGUCCUUGCUGUUUUCUGCUACUCCUCCAAAGAGGUUUAUUUGUUGAAUUACCCUUUCAAGUUUUCUUCAUUCAAAGUCAACUUUUUGUACUUGCUGUAGACAACAAAUAGAAAUAUGUGCUUUUCAUUGAUACGGUGGAUCUUGGUGGUGUGGAAACUCAUGACAAGGUAUGAGUCUUCAAUAUUGAAACUUUGGUGGUGGGGAAACUCGUAACAGGGUAUGAGUCUUCAAUUCUGAUUUUUGGUUGCUUUAUUUAUCAAUUUGUCAACAAGUGCCACCUUAUGUGUUAUACCCAUACCCAAAAACCCGGGCUAAUUUCAACUUUUGUACAUGGGUGAUGCAACCAGGUGACAACCACUAGUAACUUAUGGAUUUGCCCGGCUCAUUACAUGGAAGGACUACAAACCAUUGAAGGAGUUAAGAUGGUAGAACCAGUGCAGAGGCAGGCUUAGGACUUCAGUGGCAACAGUAAGGCUUGUGUCCGCGAGACACCAUGCUGAUGGACAUCGCUUCCUUAUUGUCAGUUAUUUAUCCUUAUGUAUUAUUUAUAAUCUCGUAAUGCCUAGGAUCGGAAUUCCAAUGAAUUUUGGUAUAUGGUAAUUAUCAUUUAGUGAAUCACCAGUAGUAAAGUUUACAAAUCUUAUACGUGUAUUCUGAUUUUAGUUGUGAUUUUGGGGCAUUUACGGAUUGGGUUAUUGUAUCUGUGAUCCUG
Molecule: long non-coding RNA, 11238 nt
Organism: Macadamia integrifolia
Lineage: Eukaryota; Viridiplantae; Streptophyta; Magnoliopsida; Proteales; Proteaceae
Exons: 8
Source: RefSeq, a predicted model, not a curated record